This 800-nucleotide ribosomal RNA is filed under the name uncultured Bacteroidota bacterium. Its description in RNAcentral is "bacterial SSU rRNA". It matches the Rfam family "Bacterial small subunit ribosomal RNA", at positions 1 to 789 of the family's 1533-position model. The record is from RNAcentral. Lineage: Bacteria; Pseudomonadati; Bacteroidota.
GGAUCCAGACCUUGAUCCUGGCUCAGGAUGAACGCUAGCUACAGGCUUAACACAUGCAAGUCGAGGGGAAACGACAUCGAAAGCUUGCUUUUGAUGGGCGUCGACCGGCGCACGGGUGAGUAACGCGUAUCCAACCUGCCCACCACUUGGGGAUAACCUUGCGAAAGUAAGACUAAUACCCAAUGACAUCCCACGAAGGCAUCCGAAUGGGAUUAAAGAUUUAUCGGUGAUGGAUGGGGAUGUGUCUGAUUAGCUUGUUGGCGGGGUAACGGCCCACCAAGGCAACGAUCAGUAGGGGUUCUGAGAGGAAGGUCCCCCACAUUGGAACUGAGACACGGUCCAAACUCCUACGGGAGGCAGCAGUGAGGAAUAUUGGUCAAUGGGCGAGAGCCUGAACCAGCCAAGUAGCGUGCAGGAAGACGGCCCUAUGGGUUGUAAACUGCUUUUAUAAGGGAAUAAAGUGGGUCACGUGUGACUUUUUGCAUGUACCUUAUGAAUAAGGACCGGCUAAUUCCGUGCCAGCAGCCGCGGUAAUACGGAAGGUCCGGGCGUUAUCCGGAUUUAUUGGGUUUAAAGGGAGCGUAGGCCGGAGAUUAAGCGUGUUGUGAAAUGUAGAGGCUCAACCUCUGCACUGCAGCGCGAACUGGUCUUCUUGAGUACGCACAACGUGGGCGGAAUUCGUGGUGUAGCGGUGAAAUGCUUAGAUAUCACGAAGAACUCCGAUUGCGAAGGCAGCUCACGGGAGCGCAACUGACGCUGAAGCUCGAAAGUGCGGGUAUCGAACAGGAUUAGAUACCCUG